Molecule: ribosomal RNA, 468 nt
Filed under: bacterium QLW23-isolateC
Lineage: Bacteria
Description: SSU rRNA
Rfam family: Bacterial small subunit ribosomal RNA
Source: RNAcentral
GAUCCUGGCUCAGAUUGAACGCUGGCGGCAGGCCUAACACAUGCAAGUCGAGCGGUAGAGAGAAGCUUGCUUCUCUUGAGAGCGGCGGACGGGUGAGUAAUGCCUAGGAAUCUGCCUAGUGGUGGGGGAUAACGUUCGAAACGGACGCUAAUACCGCAUACGUCCUACGGGAGAAAGCGGGGGAUCUUCGGACCUCGCGCCAUUAGAUGAGCCUAGGUCGGAUUAGCUAGUUGGUGAGGUAAUGGCUCACCAAGGCGACGAUCCGUAACUGGUCUGAGAGGAUGAUCAGUCACACUGGAACUGAGACACGGUCCAGACUCCUACGGGAGGCAGCAGUGGGGAAUAUUGGACAAUGGGCGAAAGCCUGAUCCAGCCAUGCCGCGUGUGUGAAGAAGGUCUUCGGAUUGUAAAGCACUUUAAGUUGGGAGGAAGGGCAGUAACCUAAUACGUUAUUGUUUGACGUACCGA